GGCCAGACUCCUACGGGAGGCAGCAGUGGGGGAUAUUGCACAAUGGGGGAAACCCUGAUGCAGCGACGCCGCGUGGGCGAAGAAGUAUUUCGGUAUGUAAAGCCCUAUCAGCAGGGAAGAAGAAAUGACGGUACCUGACUAAGAAGCCCCGGCUAACUACGUGCCAGCAGCCGCGGUAAUACGUAGGGGGCAAGCGUUAUCCGGAUUUACUGGGUGUAAAGGGGGCGCAGACGGCAGCGCAAGCCAGGAGUGAAAGCCCGGGGCCCAACCCCGGGACUGCUCUUGGAACUGCGCGGCUGGAGUGCAGGAGGGGCAGGCGGAAUUCCUGGUGUAGCGGUGAGAUGCGUAGAUAUUAGGAGGAACACCGGUGGCGAAGGCGGCCUGCUGGACUGUGACUGACGUUGAGGCCCGAAGGCGUGGGGAGCAAACAGGAUUAGAUACCCGUGUA
Molecule: ribosomal RNA, 448 nt
Filed under: uncultured bacterium
Lineage: Bacteria
Description: partial 16S ribosomal RNA
Rfam family: Bacterial small subunit ribosomal RNA
Source: RNAcentral